RNAcentral lists this ribosomal RNA (241 nucleotides) under uncultured eukaryote. RNAcentral's name for it is "partial 18S ribosomal RNA". It matches the Rfam family "Eukaryotic small subunit ribosomal RNA", at positions 1299 to 1458 of the family's 1831-position model. The record is from RNAcentral.
UGGUGGAGUGAUUUGUCUGGUUAAUUCCGAUAACGAACGAGACCUCAGCCUGCUAAUUAGUUAUGCGAAUGAUUACAUCCGCAAGGGGAGGGUUCCGGCUUUAGCUCGGGGGCAACUCUGAGAUUCGGUUGGAAAACUCGUUUUCAUUCGUGAGAGUGGGUUGGCUUCGGUCAAACUGCUCGCUAAUAACUUCUUAGAGGGACACUUGGUUUUUAACCAAGGGAAGUUUGAGGCAAUAACA